GGUCAAGGAUGGACUCGCGSCCUAUUCAGGUAGUUGGUGAGGUAAUGGNUCCCCAAGCNUWCGACGGGUAGCCGGCNUGAGAGGGUGACCCGGCCACACUGGGAUUGAGACACGGCCCCAGACUCCUACGGGAGGCMRSCAGUGGGGAAUAUUGCACAAUGGGCGAAAGGCCUGAUGCAGCAACGCCGCGUGAGGGACGACGGCCUUCGGGUUGUAAACCUCUUUUAGCAGGGAAGAAGCGAAAGUGACGGUACCUGCAGAAAAAGCACCGGCUAAUUACGUGCCAGCAGCCGCGGUAAUACGUAGGGUGCAAGCGUUGUCCGGAAUUAUUGGGCGUAAAGAGCUCGUAGGCGGUUUGUCGCGUCUGCUGUGAAAACCCGAGGCUCAACCUCGGGCCUGCAGUGGGUACGGGCAGACUAGAGUGCGGUAGGGGAGAUUGGAAUUCCUGGUGUAGCGGUGGAAUGCGCAGAUAUCAGGAGGAACACCGAUGGCGAAGGCAGAUCUCUGGGCCGUUACUGACGCUGAGGAGCGAAAGGGUGGGGAGCAAACAGGCUUAGAUACCCCUGGUAGUCCACCCCGUAAACGUUGGGAACUAGAUGUGGGGACCAUUCCACGGUCUCCGUGUCGCAGCUNACGCAUUAAGUUCCCCGCCUGGGGAGUACGGCCGCAAGGCUANAACUCAAAGGAAUUGACGGGGGCCCGCACAAGCGGCGGAGCAUGCGGAUUAAUUCGAUGCAACGCGAAGAACCUUACGNAAGGCUUGACAUAUACCGGAAACGGCGAGAGAUCGUCGCCCCGCAAGNCGCAUACCAG
This 813-nucleotide ribosomal RNA is filed under the name actinobacterium RG-20. RNAcentral's name for it is "bacterial SSU rRNA". It matches the Rfam family "Bacterial small subunit ribosomal RNA", at positions 217 to 1023 of the family's 1533-position model. The record is from RNAcentral. Lineage: Bacteria; Bacillati; Actinomycetota; Actinomycetes.